AGUGAACGCUGGCGGUAGGCCUAACACAUGCAAGUCGAACGGCAGCACAGAGGAGCUUGCUCCUUGGGUGGCGAGUGGCGGACGGGUGAGGAAUACAUCGGAAUCUACUCUGUCGUGGGGGAUAACGUAGGGAAACUUACGCUAAUACCGCAUACGACCUACGGGUGAAGGCAGGGGGCCUUCUGGCCUUGCGCGAUUGAAUGAGCCGAUGUCGGAUUAGCUAGUUGGCGGGGUAAAGGCCCACCAAGGCGACGAUCCGUAGCUGGUCUGAGAGGAUGAUCAGCCACACUGGAACUGAGACACGGUCCAGACUCCUACGGGAGGCAGCAGUGGGGAAUAUUGGACAAUGGGCGCAAGCCUGAUCCAGCCAUACCGCGUGGGUGAAGAAGGCCUUCGGGUUGUAAAGCCCUUUUGUUGGGAAAGAAAUCCAGCUGGCUAAUACCCGGUUGGGAUGACGGUACCCAAAGAAUAAGCACCGGCUAACUUCGUGCCAGCAGCCGCCGCCG
This 506-nucleotide ribosomal RNA is filed under the name uncultured bacterium. RNAcentral's name for it is "partial 16S ribosomal RNA". It matches the Rfam family "Bacterial small subunit ribosomal RNA", at positions 29 to 523 of the family's 1533-position model. The record is from RNAcentral.